UCCGUGACAUUCAACUAGAACGUGCAAUAAUAAUAAUGCAAUUCAAUCAAAUGAUUCAGUAUCAUAUAUUUUUCCAUUUUGUGUAUUUUGCUUUAUAAAAUCGUGCGGCAUUCAACGUGUUAAUAACAAAGUAGUGAAAUCGAUCACGGUUCAGAAAGAAGUCGUAAGAGAUUAACCUGUUAACUCGUAUACUCGUCAAACGCAAUUAACUGGUUAAACGGAUGCAGUGUCACGUCACGAGGAUUAUUUAAUUGUCGAAGGAGGAAAAAAGGUGGAAACAACAAAGAAGGAAACCGAAGUGAGUGGUGGAAACCCGACGACGACGAGACGGACUGAC
Non-coding RNA from Nomia melanderi (Alkali bee), 337 nucleotides. NCBI's taxonomy places the organism in Eukaryota, Metazoa, Arthropoda, Insecta, Hymenoptera, Halictidae. The record is from RefSeq and is a predicted model, not a curated record.